CAUUCAACUUGGAUGGUUAUGCCGUUGACUGUCUUCGGCAUAACCAUUCAACUUGUAUGGUUAUGCCGUUGACUGUCGUCGGCAUAACCAUUCAA
This is a non-coding RNA of Paramuricea clavata, 95 nucleotides long. Lineage: Eukaryota; Metazoa; Cnidaria; Anthozoa; Malacalcyonacea; Plexauridae. The record is from the annotation of a GenBank genome assembly.